GCUGCUGUGGCUCAGCAGGUAGAGCACGUCCUUGGUAAGGACGAGGUCGGCGGUUCAAAUCCGCUCAGCAGCUCCA
This 76-nucleotide transfer RNA is filed under the name Clostridia bacterium. Its description in RNAcentral is "tRNA-Thr". It matches the Rfam family "tRNA". From Rfam's summary of the family: Transfer RNA (tRNA) molecules are approximately 80 nucleotides in length. Their secondary structure includes four short double-helical elements and three loops (D, anti-codon, and T loops). The record is from RNAcentral. Lineage: Bacteria; Bacillati; Bacillota; Clostridia.